Molecule: long non-coding RNA, 728 nt
Organism: Oryza sativa Japonica Group (Japanese rice)
Lineage: Eukaryota; Viridiplantae; Streptophyta; Magnoliopsida; Poales; Poaceae
Source: RefSeq, a predicted model, not a curated record
ACCCCAGCCGCCAGCUAGCCGAAACCCUAGCUUCUCCACUCUCUCUCUCUAUCUUUCGCGCGCGUGGCUGCGUUGACGGCCCAUGCAUCGCCGCGCCGUCGCACUGCCGCUGCGCCUCGCGCCGCCGCAUCAUGGCCGGCGCGCCAUGGCCGGUGACCUCGCGCUGUGGCGCGCCCACUUUUCUGUUCUCCUCCCACCGUCUCUAAUCCUCCACCUGUGAAGUGAAGGAGAGAGAGAGAGCGGCGAUGCGCCGCCACGGGCCACCUCGCCGGCGCGCGCGUGCACCUGCGGGUGCGCACACGGCCAUCGAGAGGCUCCUUGGCGGUGCCCUGUGCCCUCCCCCUUUCACCCCUUUGCCGGCGUCAACGUUCGGCCGGCGACAAGGUCAUGGGACAAUGUCACUUGGUUCACAGAACGACUAAAAGUUAGACACGAUUGCAUAUUUUUUCUAACAAUUCAUACUAUGUAUACUUUAAUUGUGUAAUUCAAAAUCCUUUUUAUGGACCUUUGAUACAUACAUACAUACACUCACACAUAUGUAUAUAAUAUGUAAGCAAAUGAAUUAUCCACAUAGCUGUGUGGCUAGUUAGCUAGCAUAUCUUGGAAUUAUAUUUAUACUUUUUCAUCUGCUUGUUUAUUUUUUAACUAUGUAAUAUAAUUCCUAUGUGCGGAGCAAUUGUAACAGCUGAAGUGCCAUAGACUAAAGUUUAUGAUUGUGGUUUGAAUUA